GACGAACGCUGGCGGCGUGCCUAAUACAUGCAAGUUGAGCGCUGAAGGUUGGUACUUGUACCAACUGGAUGAGCAGCGAACGGGUGAGUAACGCGUGGGUAAUCUGCCUUUGAGCGGGGGACAACAUUUGGAAACGAAUGCUAAUACCGCAUAAAAACUUUAAACACAAGUUUUAAGUUUGAAAGAUGCAAUUGCAUCACUCAAAGAUGAUCCCGCGUUGUAUUAGCUAGUUGGUGAGGUAAAGGCUCACCAAGGCGAUGAUACAUAGCCGGCCUGAGAGGGUGAUCGGCCACAUUGGGACUGAGACACGGCCCAAACUCCUACGGGAGGCAGCAGUAGGGAAUCUUCGGCAAUGGACGAAAGUCUGACCGAGCAACGCCGCGUGAGUGAAGAAGGUUUUCGGAUCGUAAAACUCUGUUGGUAGAGAAGAACGUUGGUGAGAGUGGAAAGCUCAUCAAGUGACGGUAACUACCCAGAAAGGGACGGCUAACUACGUG
Molecule: ribosomal RNA, 497 nt
Filed under: uncultured bacterium
Lineage: Bacteria
Description: partial 16S ribosomal RNA
Rfam family: Bacterial small subunit ribosomal RNA
Source: RNAcentral